GAGUAGCUGGGACUACAGGCGCAUGCCACCAUGCCCAGCUAAUUUUGUAUUUUUAGUAGAGACAGGGUUUCUCCAUGUUGGUCAGACUGGUCUCGAACCCCGACCUCAGGUGAUUUGCCCGUCUUGGCCUCCCAAAGUGCUGGGAUUACAGACGUGAGCCACCACGCCCAGCUCUGAGGGCUUUUUAGCAGGUGAGCCGCUUCCAGCCAGCCGAGGCGUCCUCCCUCCGUGAUGCCAUUUCUGCUCCACAGUGUGUGCACUGUGCUCAGCUUGACUCCCCACUCUCCCAAAACUAACAUUCCUGUUUAAUUCCAUGAGAGCGGGGCUCAGAGUAAACUUGGGCCAAGGCAUCAACACGGCCCUGCCGGGGGAUUCCCCCCUCCUGUGCUUCGGAGAUGGUUUUCUGCUCUUCUUAGGGGGCGCCUGGCCCCCUGGCCUUUGUUUUUGCCCCUGGGCAUCUGGCACCCGAUUUGGAGCUGGGCCAGUCCCCCACAGUGCCCCAGGCCUGCUUUUGGGCUCUGGAGUGUUUGAAAUCGCCGAAGCUUCGGGAGUUAGAACCGGGACAAAA
Molecule: small RNA, 568 nt
Filed under: Pan troglodytes (chimpanzee)
Lineage: Eukaryota; Metazoa; Chordata; Mammalia; Primates; Hominidae
Description: processed transcript
Source: RNAcentral